UCCACUCUCUGUGUCCACUCUCUGUCUCUCUGUGUCCACUCUCUGUCUCUAGAGACACACACACACACACAUACCUGGUACAUUCUGCUCAUGUUAUUUUCGUUUUAAAAUCUGGGCAACAAAUAUAGAGAGAUGUUUUUGAAAGGGGGCAGGGUGAGAAGAUUAAAUUAGUGGAUUCUCGAGCCAGUGAUAACAAUGUAGGAACUCGCGUGGUCGGGCUAUCCACAGACUGGCACACAAGUUGACCUUGUGUCUACAUCAGUUUUGGUCCAGGUGUCAAUGUCCACAUCAGUUUUGGUCCAGGUGUCAAUGUCUACAUCAGUUUUGGUCCAGGUCUUGGUCCAGGUGUCAAUGUCCACAUCAGUUUUGGUCCAGGUGUCAAUGUCCACAUCAGUUUUGGUCCAGGUGUCAAUGUCCACACCAGUUUUGGUCCAGGUAUCAAUGUCCACAUCAGUUUUUUGUCCCGGUGUGGGGGAGUAUGUCAAUGUCUUCCACCCCGCCCUGAUGUCUCACGUGACAUCUGUUUGUUGACAUUUGUUUUGUUGACAUCUGUUUGUUGACCUCCCCCCCCCCCCACUCUGUGUCGGCCAGGAGUGAGCCCGUCAGAAGUCUCCUUUGGUUUUAGAAAUUACUUUUUAUUCAUUGAUAAGGAAAUUUAUUCUUCUCAUUUUGUGGAAUGACAUUCAUUUCUGGAUUUUUUUUAUUUUUUUUUCAAUUCUGUUUUGUCUUAGGCUAAUUACUUGUGAUUUUUGUUUUUAUGUUCUGUUUUUCUAUUCUAUACAUAUAAUAUAUAUAUAGGUAAAAAAGAGAAGGUUGAGUAUUUCUCCAUGGUGGAGCCUGUUGAAGCGAGCAAGCUUUGUCGGAGGACUGGGCUGCACGCGUUUGGUUGUGUACAUAGAUGAUGACAUCCCAAUGUUCUUUUACCACUACAAUACUUAGCUUGAUGUGCG
Aplysia californica (California sea hare) is the source of this 950-nucleotide long non-coding RNA. RefSeq lists it as uncharacterized. The transcript is spliced from 2 exons. The record is from RefSeq and is a predicted model, not a curated record. NCBI's taxonomy places the organism in Eukaryota, Metazoa, Mollusca, Gastropoda, Aplysiida, Aplysiidae.